RNAcentral lists this ribosomal RNA (254 nucleotides) under uncultured bacterium. RNAcentral's name for it is "partial 16S ribosomal RNA". It matches the Rfam family "Bacterial small subunit ribosomal RNA", at positions 524 to 776 of the family's 1533-position model. The record is from RNAcentral.
UACGUAGGGUGGGAGCGUUGUCCGGAAUUAUUGGGCGUAAAGAGCUCGUAGGCGGUCUGUCGCGUCGAUCGUGAAAACUUGGGGCUUAACCCUGAGCUUGCGGUCGAUACGGGCAUGACUGGAGUUCGGCAGGGGAGACUGGAAUUCCUGGUGUAGCGGUGAAAUGCGCAGAUAUCAGGAGGAACACCGGUGGCGAAGGCGGGUCUCUGGGCCGAUACUGACGCUGAGGAGCGAAAGCGUGGGGAGCGAACAGG